AUUGAACGCUGGCGGCAUGCCUUACACAUGCAAGUCGAACGGCAGCACGGGUGCUUGCACCUGGUGGCGAGUGGCGAACGGGUGAGUAAUACAUCGGAACAUGUCCUGUAGUGGGGGAUAGCCCGGCGAAAGCCGGAUUAAUACCGCAUACGAUCCACGGAUGAAAGCGGGGGACCUUCGGGCCUCGCGCUAUAGGGUUGGCCGAUGGCUGAUUAGCUAGUUGGUGGGGUAAAGGCCUACCAAGGCGACGAUCAGUAGCUGGUCUGAGGGGACGACCAGCCACACUGGGACUGAGACACGGCCCAGACUCCUACGGGAGGCAGCAGUGGGGAAUUUUGGACAAUGGGCGAAAGCCUGAUCCAGCAAUGCCGCGUGUGUGAAGAAGGCCUUCGGGUUGUAAAGCACUUUUGCCCGGAAAGAAAUCCUUGACUCUAAUACAGUCGGGGGAUGACGGUACCGGAAGAAUAAGCACCGGCUAACUACGUG
This 486-nucleotide ribosomal RNA is filed under the name uncultured bacterium. RNAcentral describes it as "partial 16S ribosomal RNA". It matches the Rfam family "Bacterial small subunit ribosomal RNA", at positions 30 to 507 of the family's 1533-position model. The record is from RNAcentral.